Molecule: ribosomal RNA, 797 nt
Filed under: uncultured Mycobacterium sp.
Lineage: Bacteria; Bacillati; Actinomycetota; Actinomycetes; Mycobacteriales; Mycobacteriaceae
Description: bacterial SSU rRNA
Rfam family: Bacterial small subunit ribosomal RNA
Source: RNAcentral
GGCGUAAAGAGCUCGUAGGUGGUUUGUCGCGUUGUUCGUGAAAUCUCACGGCUUAACUGUGAGCGUGCGGGCGAUACGGGCAGACUUGAGUACUGCAGGGGAGACUGGAAUUCCUGGUGUAGCGGUGGAAUGCGCAGAUAUCAGGAGGAACACCGGUGGCGAAGGCGGGUCUCUGGGCAGUAACUGACGCUGAGGAGCGAAAGCGUGGGGAGCGAACAGGAUUAGAUACCCUGGUAGUCCACGCCGUAAACGGUGGGUACUAGGUGUGGGUUUCCUUCCUUGGGAUCCGUGCCGUAGCUAACGCAUUAAGUACCCCGCUUGGGGAGUACGGCCGCAAGGCUAAAACUCAAAGAAAUUGACGGGGGCCCGCACAAGCGGCGGAGCAUGUGGAUUAAUUCGAUGCAACGCGAAGAACCUUACCUGGGUUUGACAUGCACAGGACGCCGGCAGAGAUGUCGGUUCCCUUGUGGCCUGUGUGCAGGUGGUGCAUGGCUGUCGUCAGCUCGUGUCGUGAGAUGUUGGGUUAAGUCCCGCAACGAGCGCAACCCUUGUCUCAUGUUGCCAGCGGGUAAUGCCGGGGACUCGUGAGAGACUGCCGGGGUCAACUCGGAGGAAGGUGGGGAUGACGUCAAGUCAUCAUGCCCCUUAUGUCCAGGGCUUCACACAUGCUACAAUGGCCGGUACAAAGGGCUGCGAUGCCGCGAGGUUAAGCGAAUCCUUUUAAAGCCGGUCUCAGUUCGGAUCGGGGUCUGCAACUCGACCCCGUGAAGUCGGAGUCGCUAGUAAUCGCAGAUCAG